AAGAGUUGAGCUCUGAUUCGCUUGUACAAGAAGUGCAUCGUAGACUAGAUAAUUUUGUGCUGGUAAAAAUGUUUUAGAAUAUCACAGAUGCUACGGAAUAGAUUUUGAAGGUGUAUGAGAGAAAGGACUGUAGAAGGGAGGUUAGUAUUAAAAUGUAGCUAAGAAAUAGGAUAUACGAAUGUGUACUGGAUUGGAUUCAUCUGGCUCAGGACAGAGUCCAGAUGCUGGCUCUUCUAAACACGGUAAUGAACAUUCAGAUCACAAGAAAGGUAGGAACUUUAUUUAGUAACCGAGAGACAAGAAAUUGACGUUAAUAAGUUGCCUGGUUUCAUAUAGGGCGGGAAAUAUCUUUACUAGCUGAGCGACUACGAAGCUGUUAGCUUUUCAAGAAGAAUUCUGUUCCAUGAAAAUAAUUAUGUAAAUUGUUUAUAAAAUAGAACACUCAUUUUUAAUAAUUAGAAAUUCAGCAGCCAGUACAUGUGAUUUACGAUGUUAUCUAGGAAUAUGCAGAAAAUCCUUCUUGGGGAAUAUGAAAUUAGCAUUCCUUGCUAUACAAGCAUGGCUAUGUUGAUUGUAGAGCAUACAUAAAAUGUUGCUUUCAUGUUAACUCCUCGUUAAAAAUGAGUAUUAAAUUCAGAAAUUGACCUAAGUACAGAUAAGGCGAAAGUUUAACUUUUUUACAAUAUCCCGUUGGAGGAAAAGUCAGGACUGGAAACAAUGUGGAGAGUGAUUACUGCACAUCCUUACAUUGAAACAUCCCCUUACAAACUGUAGCAGAUCUCAAGAACGGGUCAUCAAAGAAUAGAAGCCAGGUCUGUUACGCAAGACGUUCUCUCGUGCUAGCUUUAUUGACUACGAACCAAAUACGAGGUUGGAGAGCACUUGGCUGCCGUCAUGAUGAAGUUCUCAGUAUCGAUUGUAGGAGCUUGUUCAUAAUAGAGAGAAACCGUCCUGAAGCUCCUUCUACCCGAUUGCUUUGAUUGCUAGGUUGGCUUCACUGGUUGAACUGACUCGCGAUCACUGCUCGAUCCUACGCAUAAACACUGACUUGGCACCCGUGUGCCUCGGACCAAAAUCAGACUGUGGCUCAGCGAUAGGUCAAUAUCGAAUGACGCGCAGCGAGCUUGCCUCAUGCGGGGUCGACACUAUUAAUGCGUUGUGAGUCGAUCUCGAAACGAGCGGAAGCAGUGAGAAAGGAGAAGACGAAUGAGAGCCCAUAAUGGGCGAGAGUUUGACGACGCA
Zootermopsis nevadensis is the source of this 1242-nucleotide non-coding RNA. Lineage: Eukaryota; Metazoa; Arthropoda; Insecta; Blattodea; Termopsidae. The record is from RefSeq and is a predicted model, not a curated record.